RNAcentral lists this ribosomal RNA (195 nucleotides) under uncultured bacterium. RNAcentral describes it as "partial 16S ribosomal RNA". It matches the Rfam family "Bacterial small subunit ribosomal RNA", at positions 335 to 527 of the family's 1533-position model. The record is from RNAcentral.
AGUCUACGGGAGGCAGCAGUGAGGAAUAUUGGUCAAUGGGCGGAAGCCUGAACCAGCCAAGUAGCGUACAGGAUGACGGCCCUAUGGGUUGUAAACUGCUUUUAUGCGGGGAUAACCGGGGCCACGCGUGGCCCCCUGCAGGUACCGCAUGAAUAAGGACCGGCUAAUUCCGUGCCAGCAGCCGCGGUAAUGACU